This 1261-nucleotide unclassified non-coding RNA is filed under the name Hevea brasiliensis (rubber tree). The record is from RNAcentral. Lineage: Eukaryota; Viridiplantae; Streptophyta; Magnoliopsida; Malpighiales; Euphorbiaceae.
GUUGAAAAUGCUAGAAGGAACUAUAGUGAAUGUUCCUGAGAAGGGGGCGAGGAAGCAUCCUCGGGGGGAUAACAUACAGAUAGAUACAAAAGAUAUCCUGUUUAUAGUUGGUGGAGCAUUCGUGGAUCUUGAUAAGACAGUUUCAGAGAGACGGCAAGAUUCAUCAAUUGGAUUUGGGGCACCUGUUCGUGCUAACAUGAGAGCAGCUGGAGUAACCAAUGCUGCAGUCACAUCAUCUUUGCUUGAAUCUGUUGAAAGUGCUGAUCUUAUAGCAUAUGGCCUUAUACCAGAGUUUAUUAGCCGUUUUCCUAUAUUAGUUAGCUUGUCGGCUCUUACUGAGGACCAACUUGUCCAGGUCCUCACAGAACCAAAAAAUGCUCUAGGCAAGCAGUACAAGAAAUUAUUUAGGAUGAAUAGAGUGAAGCUACAUUUUACAGAAAAAGCGCUAAGAUUAAUCGCCCAAAAGGCAAUGGCUAAGAAUACUGGUGCUAGGGGUUUAAGAGCCAUACUAGAGAGUAUUCUAACUGAAGCCAUGUAUGAGGUAUGCAAGUCUCUUAAGGCUUAUUUGGGGGUGGAAAAAAACUGAAAGAUAUACUGUCUAGUGGCAACAUAGAGUUUGCUUACAGAUACUUGACAUAUUAACUUAUUAUAUUCCUUGCAUAUUUCAGAUUCCUGAUUUGAAAACAGGUAGUAAUAGAGUAGAUGCUGUUGUAGUUGAUGAUGAAUCUGUAGGUUCUGUAAAUGCUCCUGGAUGUGGCGGAAAAAUUCUUCGUGGAGAUGGUGCAUUGGAGCGUUACCUUGCAGAAUAUAAGCUGAAGGAAUCAACGGAAAAUGCUGAGGCUGCUGAUGCAGAUUUGCAAGAAGGUGAAUCAGAAGUGUCAUCAAGAGCCAUGAGCAUGUAAGAGCUGGCCCGGGCUGGUUCCAUUUUAGAACUGACAGUUCUGGUUCAAGGUUUAAGCGAGACAAAAUUGAAACCAUAGGAUCCCUAUCAGUUCCACAUUGCUGUUUCAGAUCUGAUUCGAUUUCGGUUUUGAUCAAAUUUAACGGUUGAUUUUAAAAAAAGAAAAUCCAGUUUUGAACCAAAUCGAACCUGUCAGUUCAAGAUGGCCAGUUUUGGUUCCGGUUUUGAUUAGUCCAGUUCUGAUUUUAAAUCGGAUCACGGCUGGGUCUAAUUGUUGCCAUUUGUAAAAUUGCUGUUUUUAUUUGUAAAAAGUGAUAUUUCUUGAUUGGAUUGUAAUUAUAGCAUAGCUAAUGAUGAUUA